Electrophorus electricus (electric eel) is the source of this 1172-nucleotide long non-coding RNA. RefSeq lists it as uncharacterized. The record is from RefSeq and is a predicted model, not a curated record. Lineage: Eukaryota; Metazoa; Chordata; Actinopteri; Gymnotiformes; Gymnotidae.
CGGAUUUGAAGGGCGAAUGUCCGCCGCUCCUGCGUGUGAAAUGGAAGAAAAGGACAGACGAUGAAGCGGAAAAAUAGUUCCUCCAAGAACACUCCUGACUCCAUCUAUAAUCUCAGGCUCUUUGACAAAGGAGAAACUGAGAGAAAUUCCGUUUGACCAACCAAGUGUCCCAACAACUGCUCCAACUGACCAACUGGAACCAGAAGGGUACUUGGAAAUUUGUGUGACAUGAAGUCUCAAGCGUGAAGGAUUCCCCUCCCCUGUCCACGCUCCCCAGUGCAGCGGACUGUCCUGCAGUGGUGCCUCCGGGAACGCUGCUCUGGUUGUGACUCCUGCCGUCUCUCCAUGGAGAUGGAUGGCCGUGCUGGUCCGAUAUUGUAUAUGAUUCAUUCACUCAAACAGAAGCUGGAUGCUGGUGUCCAGAGGUGACCACACGUUCUCUUUUUCCAGGACAUCAGUCAUAUUUUGGGACCUAAAUGUGAAUUUUUCAAAAACAAUCUGGGCUCCAAUAGCCUAAAAUGUAAAGAAUUUGUUUUCUCCGGUCAGCCAAGAACCUCCUUCAGCCCACUGUCUUCUAUUUCUGAAAACCAAAACACAUUCACUUUAGGACACACAAUGCACCUCAUUUCAGUGGGACAGAAUUCAGUUCAGUUCACUUCAGUUCAGCUGCACUGUCACACAGGCGUGUACUGAGAAUUGAGUUCCGUUUCCUCAGGUGUAAACAUGACGUAUGGUGCAGGAUAGUGGAAAUAAAACAUCCCACAAGUUACUCUGAACAUUAUUAUAGUACAUUAUUUAGUCGAUGGCUGAGAGAAUUUAACUUUGUGUUUAAGAUAUGUAUGACAAAUUGAAUAUAUGAAAUGGAUGUUACUUGAACAGAUGAACAGAUGUACUGUUAAAUGACCCCAAGCUGAAGGAAGGCAGAAUUAGACAUGUUGUAGCAUCGCUGGUUCCAGGAUUUGUCCUUCACACCUAAUGUGUGGAACGUCUUUCAGAAGUUUCCUGUGGUGCAGUGGUGUCUGGUUUUGUAUUCUCUACAGACCUCUGCACAGUCACGCUUUUCACAGAACUGCUGACCCUUCUCCUAAUCACAGUCCUGUUAUGUUCCAUAGUUCAGUACAUAUUCAGUAAUAUGUUACAGCUGAUCUCGGACCGGUUUCUUUUCUUGUGAG